Molecule: non-coding RNA, 73 nt
Organism: Stegodyphus mimosarum
Lineage: Eukaryota; Metazoa; Arthropoda; Arachnida; Araneae; Eresidae
Source: Rfam
GCCUUUGUGGUGUAGUGGUCAGCUUGCUCGACACAUAUUCGAGAGGUCUGUGGUUCAAGUCCCGGCGAGGGCA